GCGGACGGGUGAGUAACACGUGGAUAACCUACCUAUAAGACUGGGAUAACUUCGGGAAACCGGAGCUAAUACCGGAUAAUAUUUUGAACCGCAUGGUUCAAAAGUGAAAGACGGUCUUGCUGUCACUUAUAGAUGGAUCCGCGCUGCAUUAGCUAGUUGGUAAGGUAACGGCUUACCAAGGCAACGAUGCAUAGCCGACCUGAGAGGGUGAUCGGCCACACUGGAACUGAGACACGGUCCAGACUCCUACGGGAGGCAGCAGUAGGGAAUCUUCCGCAAUGGGCGAAAGCCUGACGGAGCAACGCCGCGUGAGUGAUGAAGGUCUUCGGAUCGUAAAACUCUGUUAUUAGGGAAGAACAUAUGUGUAAGUAACUGUGCACAUCUUGACGGUACCUAAUCAGAAAGCCACGGCUAACUACGUGCCAGCAGCCGCGGUAAUACGUAGGUGGCAAGCGUUAUCCGGAAUUAUUGGGCGUAAAGCGCGCGUAGGCGGUUUUUUAAGUCUGAUGUGAAAGCCCACGGCUCAACCGUGGAGGGUCAUUGGAAACUGGAAAACUUGAGUGCAGAAGAGGAAAGUGGAAUUCCAUGUGUAGCGGUGAAAUGCGCAGAGAUAUGGAGGAACACCAGUGGCGAAGGCGACUUUCUGGUCUGUAACUGACGCUGAUGUGCGAAAGCGUGGGGAUCAAACAGGAUUAGAUACCCUGGUAGUCCACGCCGUAAACGAUGAGUGCUAAGUGUUAGGGGGUUUCCGCCCCUUAGUGCUGCAGCUAACGCAUUAAGCACUCCGCCUGGGGAGUACGACCGCAAGGUUGAAACUCAAAGGAAUUGACGGGGACCCGCACAAGCGGUGGAGCAUGUGGUUUAAUUCGAAGCAACGCGAAGAACCUUACCAAAUCUUGACAUCCUUUGACAACUCUAGAGA
Molecule: ribosomal RNA, 922 nt
Filed under: Staphylococcus aureus
Lineage: Bacteria; Bacillati; Bacillota; Bacilli; Caryophanales; Staphylococcaceae
Description: bacterial SSU rRNA
Rfam family: Bacterial small subunit ribosomal RNA
Source: RNAcentral